CCUACGGGUGGCAGCAGUGGGGGAUAUUGCACAAUGGGGGGAACCCUGAUGCAGCGACGCCGCGUGGGUGAAGGAGUGCUUCGGCAUGUAAAGCCCUAUCGGCAGGGAAGAAGCAAGACGGUACCUGACUAAGAACCCCCGGCUAACGACGUACCAGCACCCGCGGUAAUACGUAGGGGGCGAGCGUUCUCCGGAUGCACUGGGUGGAAAGGGGGCGGAGACGGCCCAGCAAGCAAGGGGUGAAAGCCCGGGGCUCAACCCCGGGACUGCCCUUGGGACUGGCUGGCUGGAGUGCGGGAGGGGCAGGGGGAAGUCCGGGUGUAGCGGUGAAAUGCGUAGAUAUCAGGAGGAACACCGGCGGCGAAGGCGGCCUGCUGGACCGCGACUGACGUUGAGGCUCGAAAGCGUGGGGAGCGAACAGGAUUAGAUACCCCGGUAGUC
This 441-nucleotide ribosomal RNA is filed under the name uncultured bacterium. RNAcentral's name for it is "partial 16S ribosomal RNA". It matches the Rfam family "Bacterial small subunit ribosomal RNA", at positions 338 to 795 of the family's 1533-position model. The record is from RNAcentral.